This 71-nucleotide transfer RNA is filed under the name Danio rerio (zebrafish). It matches the Rfam family "tRNA". Rfam says of the family: Transfer RNA (tRNA) molecules are approximately 80 nucleotides in length. Their secondary structure includes four short double-helical elements and three loops (D, anti-codon, and T loops). The record is from Rfam by way of RNAcentral. Lineage: Eukaryota; Metazoa; Chordata; Actinopteri; Cypriniformes; Danionidae.
GCAUUGGUGGUUCAAUGGUAGAAACCUUGCCUGCCGCGCGCGAGACCUGGGUCCAAUUCUCAGCCACUGCA